CGACCAUUUCGAGUUACAACCAGCUCUGGCCGCAAAAUUUUGCUUCUACUUGUGACUGGAGCGUCCUCUUAUGAACAAAAAAAGCAGGAAAUUCAAAUUUCUAACUGUAGGUUGUGACGAGGCUGCUUCUUUGUAGCUCUUUCGCCCCAGCAUUUAGAGAGUGUGCAUCAGAAGAGGCUUGGGACUGCCUCCUUCUGCUUCUGAGUGAGUGUGUGUGUGUGUUUGCAGGGAGGCUUUGGGCUGCCUGGUAAGGUAAGGUGCUGUUUUCUGCUUUUUAAAAACUGUUCUGGGUGUUUUUCCAGCGUGGUUUUGGGCUGGGGGGUUUUAUGUUUCUGUGCUGUGAUGGGUCUUGGGGGAGUUGUUUGUUUUUUGUUCUCCCCCCAUUUCCAAUGGGUCUUGAGGUUUUUUGUUACUUUUUGGAGUGUUUUUUCCCAUUUCUGAUGGGUCCUGGGGGGUUGUUUGUUUUUUGGUUUCCGACCCAUUUCCAAUGGGUCUUGGGAGGUUUGGUUGCUUUUGGGGGUUUGCCCCCAUCUCCGAUGGGUCUUGGGGGGUUUGUUUGUUUUUUAGCUUCCCCCAUUUUGAAUGGGUCUUGGGGGGGUUGGUUGCUUUUUGGGGUUUGUCCCUAUUUCCGAUGGGUCCUGCAUGCUUCCCUUGCUUUUUUCCUUUGUUUUCUUUGCAUUUCCGACCUGCCCUCUUUGUUCUCUGUGCAUUUCCGAUCUGCUCUGUUUGUUUUCUGUGCAUUUCCAAUGGGUCUUGCACACUUGAUUGCUUUUCAUUCUUUUCCCCCCCUUCAGCCAGAAGGGAUCAUGUUUCCAAUGAGUCUUGCAGUGAUUUUUGUGUGUGUGAUUUUUUUCUUUAGCCAGAAAGGAUUAAUUACAUUUCAAUGCAUUCCUAUGGGAAAUGGUGCUUCGACUUACGACCACUUCGAGUUAAGUCCCUGUUCUGGAACGGAUUAUGGUCGUAAGUCGAGGCGCCACUGUACAAAGACAGAAACAUUUGACUUAAUCGAAAUGGAAUAAAU
RNAcentral lists this long non-coding RNA (1021 nucleotides) under Pogona vitticeps (central bearded dragon). Its description in RNAcentral is "lncRNA (ENSPVIG00000008255.1)". The record is from RNAcentral. Lineage: Eukaryota; Metazoa; Chordata; Lepidosauria; Squamata; Agamidae.